Molecule: long non-coding RNA, 310 nt
Filed under: Homo sapiens (human)
Lineage: Eukaryota; Metazoa; Chordata; Mammalia; Primates; Hominidae
Description: non-protein coding lnc-ADGRG2-3:2
Source: RNAcentral
CACAUCCAGCCCUACCAUCUCCAUCCACGAGGUGGGCCAUACCGGAGUCACCAAAACUGAGAGGAGUGGCAUUAACAGACUGAGGAGUGAAAUGAAACAAUGACUAGGCGGUUUAGUGCUGAUGAACAUUCUUUUCUGUGGGCCAGGCCGCGUCCAGCAGUGCGCAUUCCUCCAAGUCUGCAGGUCCAGCACCCCAUCCUCGCCCACUGGCACGUCAUCCUCAGACUCGGGAGGACAUCACAUCGGCUGGGGUGAGCGGCAGGGCCAGUGGCUGCGCAGGAGAAGGCUGGAUGGGGCCAUCAACAGGGUC